This 428-nucleotide unclassified non-coding RNA is filed under the name plant metagenome. Its description in RNAcentral is "partial contains 5.8S ribosomal RNA, internal transcribed spacer 2, and large subunit ribosomal RNA". The stretch from base 1 to 102 matches the Rfam family "5.8S ribosomal RNA", at positions 50 to 154 of the family's 154-position model. The record is from RNAcentral.
UAGCUGCGAUACGUGAUGUGAAUUGCAGAAUUCGUGAAUCAUCGAAUCUUUGAACGCAUACUGCGCUUUUGGGUGACCAGAAGCAUGUCUGCUUGAGUGUCAUUUAUACAUCUUCACCUUAAAAAAAUUCUCCUUCUUCCCCGGAAGCUGGAGCGACUUUUCUAAGGUGGAUAUGCAAGUCUUUCUUUGCCUCUGGGUAAAACAAAGUCUUGUGAAAGCUAUUGGAAACAAAAAAAUUUAAUAAGAGAGAAUGGUUUCCUUUCUCCCUCUAUUUUUUUUCCCCUUUCCUCUCAUGUAAUGAGGUAGAAUUUUACAACAUUACAGCUACGAGUUGGGAUAGAGAAGCUCAUAAAAAAAAGAGGUUGGUUACCUUCCCCCUUUUCAAUAUUUGACCUCAAGUCAGACAAGACUACCCGCUGAACUUAAGC